Molecule: long non-coding RNA, 5333 nt
Filed under: Homo sapiens (human)
Lineage: Eukaryota; Metazoa; Chordata; Mammalia; Primates; Hominidae
Description: HSALNT0076785
Source: RNAcentral
CGCCUCCUUCUGGACGCUUGCUAUGUGACGCCACUUGGAAGGGACCCAGUAAGGGAUCUGUUGCGCCACAGGGGUCUCCAGGGCCCUCGCAGGUUGGGGUGGUCUGAGCUAGUCUGAAGGAGGACAGUCAGCUGACUUCUCCUUUAUCUCUCUUUCCCAGGAUAGCAGGUUCCCUUGGUGUAUUACAGUUUCUGAAGUGUUGAUUCCCUUUUCAAUUGAUUCCACAGAUGACAGUCCUGACGUUUAAAAAAUUGCCAGAUAACCUUUAAUUUUUUUUUUUUUAACAGAACACAAACUUAAGCCAGAUUGCCUAGGAUUGAACCUUGGCCUCUCACUUCCUAGACGAGUGGCCUUGGCUAGUUAACCACCUUCGUGAGCCUCAGUUUUGUCAUCUGUAAAAUGGGAGUCAUAAGUGUCUACCUCACAGAGCUGUGAUUGAAAGGAUAAAUAGCACCUUGCACAUAGCGGUGUAGAAGUGCUUGUUAUUGUUAAUAUUUUAUUUACCUUCACGCAGGUAACAGCCACAACAUCUGCCCACUCUUCCCCACACCUUACUGUCCCUUGAAAUGUUUCCCAUUUUACUAUAGUAUGCAUUUUUUGGCUUCUUCCCUUUAGGGAAAUGAGUAUGUGAUAGUAAAGCGUGUCUUGGUUUAUGUCCUAGGAGUCAGAAGCUAAGAGACUCCUUUUUGUGCUUGUACAUUUGUCUUAACUGAAAAUAACCCAAGGAUAAGGAAACAAAUAGCUUCCUGAAAUUACUCGGAUUGCGGGGGUGAGGGGUGAGGGCUGGGGGGUGGUGAUUCUGUCUUCAUAGGAUGGCAGCAAAGGCCAAAGUCUUAUUUGAGUUAUUACCAUUAUUAUUCACCACACUUGCCAUCUUAUUUCAAGCCUACAGUGGCGGAAGUGGAGUAAGACAUCAUGUUGCCUCAAGUUUAAUUGGAAAUCGCGUGCCUUGUGAAGAAUGGACACUCAGUAGAUGCUUAUUGAUGAACCUGUUGGUUGAGGAUAACUCGCUAACUUUUCUGAGCUUUGUUGGAAAAACUCAGGUCACUGUAUCUCUAUGCAUUACAGAAAAUGGCUAGUUAAAAACUUGUCAAGAUUAUGAAUGAGUGCAUCCAAAAGUAAUCACUGGAAUUGCUGUUCAUUGUGGGCUUCCCAGCAUUCUCCUCUGGGCAUUUAUAUCAAAUAACUUAUGAGUGAUGCAGAAUUAGUAUUCACCGGUCAGACAUUGAUUAUUUAGAAUUCCCUCUGAUUUGAAUUACAUCUACUGUUUUUUUCUCCCAUCCAUUUAUGGGUCAAAUGUACAAUAAGCCAAAACAUGUUGAUUCUGGUGAAAUUUAGCAGAGAAAAACAGCUUCACCUAGUGGCCACAGAAACUCGAAAAGCUUUACUGAAAAGAAAUAAAUUGGAUAUCUUCUCAUCCUGGAUAUGAACUGGAUUCCAACUUAACCUUCCAACUGUUUUGCUGUUUCUCUGAAGUCUGAACCUUGUGUAUGGCAAUACUUAUCUCAAGCAAAAAUAUAGUUUCACAUUGGUAGUACUGUAUUCAGGAAAACUGGAAAUUGUACUAUGAAGGAGCACUUCUACCACAUCCGUAUCUAAGUCUACAUUCACAGCUGCUGGAAACAGAUAUUGUAUUCAUACUAUGGUGGGAAACACAUAAUGUAUGUAUGUAUACACAUGUGUGCACACAUAUAUAUGCUAGCGUAUAAUCUGGAAAAAUUUUGCUAAGAUAUAUAGGAAGAGAACCUUUUUAUUCAGAAUAUUGAACAAGUAGGACUCAUAGUGUAAAAUUAAGAAAAAUUAUUUUUCUUCUACUGCCCUUUCUAUGGAUUUGGUUCUUCCUCUUCCCCUGAAUGUAAACUUAAGCAGUCUUCUAUGCAUUUUGUGUUCAUUCCUAAAUAUUAGAAAUAGUUAUUUGAUUAUUUAGCCUUUAGUCUCAGUUUAAUAACCAAAAUAUGAGGUUAAAAUUUAAUUCUGGCUACAGAAUUAAGGCUUCUCUCUCCUGCCGCACUUCCAGGCCAGUUGCAGGCAUGAUACCAGCAGUCUGGGAGGUAGAGACAAGAGGACACAUCUCUGCUGCUCCCUUCUUUCCCCAUGGUUAUGCGCCAACUUUGGUUUCACCAGGCCUACAGUGCUUCCCAGGUUUGGAGUGUGGGGAAGGAGAAGAUUUAAUGGAAGCAGCUUAAGGGAAAUGCUCAAACUAAACUGAUACUUUCUUCAUGAUCUAGCAUUGAAACUUUCUGGACUUGACAGAUAUUUAAAAUUAACUCUUUUUCUCAUUAACAUUUUCAUGGGUUCUUCCAAGAUCCACAUUACCCAACCUGUGGGUUCCCAUGACAAGGAUUAAGGCAUCUCUGUUUCUUCUGGACCUUUAUUUACCUGGAUUCUUUCUCUAGGGACUGUUUACCCUUAUGGGCCAUCCUUUUGAGCAUAACCUAACAAGAUUCAUGCUGGCUUUAAGUGAGUGGUCCACAUUUGGUUCAUGGGAAAACCACAUAGUUUGUCCCCAGCAAACCUGGAAGUAAUAUUUAUUUUACUGCUGGAAUUAAGGAAAACCAAAAAUCCUAUUACAAAAUGGCUCCUCUAAACAUUCACAUUACCCCUUUUUGUCUCUACCCCCUGAGGAACUAACCAACUCUAGCUCUUUGGAUUUUCCAAAUGAGAGGUCAACACAUCGAUGUCUCCAAGACCUUAAGUUCUUCUAGUGGUCUCUUUAAGCUUCCUCCCUUGAAUUAUGGUGAAAAGGGACUGCCUGCUACCCCCUCCUCUUGAGGAGAGGGGUGGUAUCACAGCCUAACAAUAAUUUCCAAAAAUUUUCUCCUCCAGCUCUAAUGCUUAACCAGUUUAGACUUUCAAAGUGGAUAAUGUAAUUUAAAGCCUUACAGCUAGUUAUGCUCUACUUCUUCUAUAAGUCCUGCAACCAGGUGGUCUCAAUCCUCACUUGCGAAUACUGCAUUUACUCACCUUGUGCCCUAGCCAAAACUUCCACAACAAAUUCUGUGGUGCAUUUAAGUGAAAGAUGUUAUUUGAUUGAUAGAGAGAUAGAUAGAUAGAUACAGAUAUAGAUAUAGAUAUGUAUUAGAACCAUGUCAAAUGGUUAACUUUUUUAAAAAGGUAAAUUUUUUAUAUUGAGAUAAUUAUAGAUUCUCAUACACUCGUAAGAAAUAACACAGAAAGAUCCCAUGUAGCCUUUAUCCAGUUUCCCCAGUGAUAAUAUCUUGCAAAACUAUAGUCCAAUAUCACAACCAAGAUACUGGCAUUGAUAGAUCACUUCCAUCACCACAAACAUCCCUCAUGUUGCCCUUUUAUAGCCACACUCAUUUCCCUCCUGCUGCCACCCUCUCCUUUACCCAUAACCACUUAUCUGUUCUCUAUUUUUGUAAUUUUAUCAUUUCAAGAAUACUGUAGAAAUGGAAUAAUACAGUAUGUAUUUUAGGGCUUAUCUUUUCUACACUCGGCAUGAUUCUCUGGAGAUUCAUCCAGGUUGUUGCAUGUAUCAAUAGUUCAUUCCUUUUUUACUGCUGAACAGUAUUCCAUUGUAUGUAUGUACCAUAGUUUAACUAUUUGCUCAAUGAAAGACAUAUAUUAAUAGUUUCCAGUUUUUGCUGUUAUGAAUAAAGCUACUAUAAACAUUCAUGUACAGGUUUUUGUAUUAAUGCAAGUCUUCAUUUCUUUGGAAGAGAUGACUGAAGUUCAAUUACUGGGUUACGUGGUAGUUGCAUAUUUCUUUUUUAAAGAAACUGCCAAACUGUUUUUCAGAGCAUCUGUAUCAUUUUAUAUUCUCACCAGCAACGUAUCAAUGACCUAGUUUCUCUACAUCCUUUCUAGCCUUAAUUGUCUUUGUUUUUUUAUUUUACUUUGUUUGUUUGUUUUGAGACAGGGUCUUUCUCUGUUGCCCAGGCUGGAAUUCAGUAGUGUAAUCAAGGCUCACUGAAGCCUGACCUCCCGGCUGAAGUGAACUGCCCACCUCAGUGCUGGAAGUAGGGUGGGGCGUCAGCCACCAGUAGCAGGACUGUAGGCAUCUGCCACCAUGCCUGGCUGAUUUCUCUUUUUUCUUUUUGCAGAGAUGGGGUUUUACUAUGUUGGAGAAGCUGGUCUCAAACUCCUGGGCUCAAGUCAUCCUCCCGCCUCAGCCUCCCAAAGUGCUGAGAUUACAGACGUGUGCCUGGCCUAUUUUACUCGUUUUAAUAGAUGUUGAGGGCUCAUGACACUCCUGGUGGCCAUAUACGCAGAGGUCAGGGAGAGAAAGGGACCUGUGGGCCAGCACCCUUAUUGGGUCCAGAGAGCUAUCCAAACAAGUUUCCAGCAGGGAAUUUAAUUGGUGGAUUUAAAGCAAGCAGGCAUGAGUUCCAGGGGGCCACACUGACUGAGGUAUGUAUGUAUGUACCAUAGUUUAACUAUUUGCUCAAUGAAAGACAUAUAUUAAUAGUUUCCAGUUUUUGCUGUUAUGAAUAAAGCUACUAUAAACAUUCAUGUACAGGUUUUUGUAUUAAUGCAAGUCUUCAUUUCUUUGGAAGAGAUGACUGAAGUUCAAUUACUGGGUUACAUGGUAGUUGCAUAUUUCUUUUUUGCACACUGACAGAGAGGUAGUCACUAUGGCAUGUCUGAAUAGUUCGUUCCGUGUGUGAGUAUCAGCAGGGCCAGUCAAGCAGCCUGCAUCUAGCCACCACCUAGUGAAGUAGUCACCAGAGAGCAGUUGUAUAAGGCAGAUAUCUGGAUCCACCACAUUGAGGAACUGGGGGAAGGGAGCACCAAACCGAAAACUGUGUCCAAGGUGACGGAGUCCUGCCUCUGGUGUGAGAAAGCCCAGCUUAUAUUUAAAGUGGAUGCCAAAGCAAUAUAAAAUUAUAGGAAUUCAUUACCAAACUGAUAGCUUGUGGUUUUAAUUUGCAUUUCCCCAAUGAAUAAUGAUGUUGAGCAUCAUUUCAUGUGUUUAUUUGGCAUCUGUGUUACUGUGUGCAUGAAAUAUGUCUUCAUGUCUUUUGUCCAUGUUCUAAUUGGAUUUUCUCAUACUGUUGAGUUUUGAAAAUUUUUUAUAUAUUCCAUAUACUAGUCCUUUGUUGGAUAUGUGGUUUUCAAGUAUUUUCUCCCAGUCCGUAGCUUACCUUUUUGCCCUCUUAACAGAGUCUUUCACAAAAUGUGUUUUUUUUUUCUUUUUUUUUGAAACAGAGUCUCAGUCUGUCACCCAAGCUGGAGUGCAGUGGUGUGAUCUUGGCUCACUGCAACCUCCACUUCCCGGGUUCAAGUAAUUCUCCUGCUUCAGCCUUCCGAGUAGCUGGGAUUACAGGCUCCCACCACCACAACUGGCUAAUUUUUGUAUUUUUAGAAGAGAC